RNAcentral lists this ribosomal RNA (497 nucleotides) under uncultured bacterium. Its description in RNAcentral is "partial 16S ribosomal RNA". It matches the Rfam family "Bacterial small subunit ribosomal RNA", at positions 28 to 507 of the family's 1533-position model. The record is from RNAcentral.
GAUGAACGCUGGCGGCGUGCCUAAUACAUGCAAGUCGAGCGAACAGACGAGGAGCUUGCUCCUCUGACGUUAGCGGCGGACGGGUGAGUAACACGUGGAUAACCUACCUAUAAGACUGGGAUAACUUCGGGAAACCGGAGCUAAUACCGGAUAAUAUAUUGAACCGCAUUGUUCAAUAGUGAAAGACGGUUUUGCUGUCACUUAUAGAUGGAUCCGCGCCGCAUUAGCUAGUUGGUAAGGUAACGGCUUACCAAGGCAACGAUGCGUAGCCGACCUGAGAGGGUGAACGGCCACACUGGAACUGAGACACGGUCCAGACUCCGACGGGAGGCAGCAGUAGGGAAUCUUCCGCAAUGGGCGAAAGCCUGACGGAGCAACGCCGCGUGAGUGAUGAAGGUCUUCGGAUCGUAAAACUCUGUUAGUAGGGAAGAACAAAUGUGUAAGUAACUAUGCACGUCUUGACGGUACCUAAUCAGAAAGCCACGGCUAACUACGUG